This 328-nucleotide ribosomal RNA is filed under the name uncultured eukaryote. RNAcentral's name for it is "partial 18S ribosomal RNA". It matches the Rfam family "Eukaryotic small subunit ribosomal RNA", at positions 1470 to 1796 of the family's 1831-position model. The record is from RNAcentral.
CCCUUAGAUGUCCUGGGCCGCACGCGCGUUACACUGAUGCAUUCAACGAGCUUAUAACCUUGGCCGAGAGGCCUGGGCAAUCUUGUUAACGUGCAUCGUGAUAGGGAUAGAUUAUUGAAAUUAUUAAUCUUGAACGAGGAAUUCCUAGUAAACGCAGAUCAUCAAUCUGCAUUGAUUACGUCCCUGCCCUUUGUACCCACCGCCCGUCGCACCUACCGAUUGGAUGGUCCGGUGAAGCCUCGGGAUUGUGGUUCUUGCCGCUUUAUUGUGGCGUGACCGCGAGAACUUGUCUAAACCUUAUCAUCUAGAGGAAGGUGAAGUCGUAACA